GAUGAACGCUGGCGGCGUGCCUAACACAUGCAAGUCGAGCGAACAGACGAGGAUUUCGCUCCUCUGACGUUAGCGGCGGACGGGUGAGUAACACGUGGAUAACCUACCUAUCCGACUGGGACAACUUCGGCAAACCGGAGCUAAUACCGGAUAAUAUAUACAUCCGCAUGUUUCAUUAGUGUAAGACGGUUUUGCUCUCACGUAUAGACGGAUCCGCGCCGCAUUAGCUAGUUGGUAAGGUAACGGCUUACCAAGGCGACGAUGCGUAGCCGACCUGAGAGGGUGAUCGGCCACACUGGAACUGAGACACGGUCCAGACUCCUACGGGAGGCAGCAGUAGGGAAUCUUGCGCAAUGGGCGAAAGCGUGACGGAGCAACGCCGCGUGAGUGAUGAAGGUCUUAGGGUCGUAAAACUCUGUUAUUUGGGACGAAGAAAUGUCUAAGUAACUCUGCGCGUAUUGACGGUACCGUAAGAGGAAGCCACGGCUAACUACGUG
Molecule: ribosomal RNA, 497 nt
Filed under: uncultured bacterium
Lineage: Bacteria
Description: partial 16S ribosomal RNA
Rfam family: Bacterial small subunit ribosomal RNA
Source: RNAcentral